RNAcentral lists this transfer RNA (74 nucleotides) under Amphioplus laevis. Its description in RNAcentral is "tRNA-Ser". It matches the Rfam family "tRNA". Rfam says of the family: Transfer RNA (tRNA) molecules are approximately 80 nucleotides in length. Their secondary structure includes four short double-helical elements and three loops (D, anti-codon, and T loops). Lineage: Eukaryota; Metazoa; Echinodermata; Ophiuroidea; Amphilepidida; Amphiuridae. The record is from RNAcentral.
AAGAGAGUUGGCAGAGUGUUUAUGCGCUUAGCUUGAAACUAAGAUUACGUGGGUUUAAUUCCCAUACUCUCUUA